RNAcentral lists this ribosomal RNA (2013 nucleotides) under Triticum aestivum (bread wheat). RNAcentral describes it as "partial small subunit ribosomal RNA". The record is from RNAcentral. Lineage: Eukaryota; Viridiplantae; Streptophyta; Magnoliopsida; Poales; Poaceae.
AUGGGAUCGGAGGCGGACGCGGGGGAGAUGACCGGGCCCCUCCUUGCCGGCGUGCCGUCUGCGGCGGAGGCGGUGCCGCCGUGGCGGGAGCAGCUGACGGUGCGGGGUGUAGUGGUGAGCGCCAUCCUGGGGGUGCUCUUCUGCCUCAUCACGCACAAGCUCAACCUCACGGUGGGGAUCAUUCCUUCGCUCAACGUCGCGGCGGGCCUGCUCGCCUACUUCCUCGUGCGGACCUGGACCGCGGCGUUGGGCAUGUUCGGCGUCGUCUCCAAGCCCUUCACCAGGCAGGAGAACACCGUCAUCCAGACCUGCGUCGUCGCCUGCUACGGCCUCGCCACCAGCGGAGGAUUCGGAUCGUAUAUGCUUGCAAUGGAUCAAACAACUUACGAGCUUAUCGGGACUGAUUAUCCUGGUAACAGGGCAGUGGAUGUGAAGAAUCCCUCGCUGAGUUGGAUGAUCGGGUUUAUGUUUGUAGUUAGCUUCAUUGGUAUUUUUAGUCUCGUUGCCCUGCGCAAGGUGAUGGUGAUAAACUAUAAGCUAACCUAUCCCAGAGGAACUGCCACCGCUAUGUUCAUAAACUGUGUCCACACUGCUACCAGAGAUGAGUUAGUAGAAAAACAAGUUAGUUGUCUUGGAAAGUACUUAAGCAUAAGUUUCCUUUGGAACUGCUUUAAAUGGUUCUUCAGUGGUGUCGGGGAUUCUUGUGGCUUCGACAACUUCCCAUCUCUGGGCCUUGCAGCAUUUAAGAACACGUUUUAUUUUGACUUCAGUCCAACCUAUAUUGGAUGUGGUCUUAUAUGUCCACAUAUAGUUAAUUGCUCUGCACUUCUUGGAGCCAUCAUAUCCUGGGGUUUUCUUUGGCCAUAUAUAUCGACAAAAGCGGGGGAGUGGUAUCCAGCUAACCUUGGAAGCAACGACUUCAAAGGACUCUAUGGGUACAAGGUUUUCAUAUCGGUAUCCUUGAUACUUGGUGAUGGUGCUUUUAACCUCAUCAAAAUCAUGUAUGCUACUAUCAAGGAAAUAAUGAAUGCACGCUCAAAGCAAGGAAGACUUCCCCUUGUUUGGGUUCAUGAUGAUGAUAAGAAUUCCAAAUUAUCAGUCGAGGAAAAGCUUCUAAAUGAGGUGUUUCUAAAAGACAGCAUCCCUCCCUGGUUGGCAGGAUUUGGUUAUGUGGGCCUUACAGCAAUUUCAACUGCAAUAGUACCAAUGAUAUUCCCACAACUCAAGUGGUACCUUGUCCUCUUUGCCUAUGUUGUUGCUCCUUUACUUGCCUUCUGCAACUCAUACGGAACUGGACUAACAGAUUGGAACCUUGCAUCCACAUAUGGAAAGAUUGGCCUUUUCAUCUUUGCCUCAUGGGUUGGCCAACAUGGUGGUGUGAUCGCCGGCUUAGCAGCUUGUGGUGUUAUGAUGUCCAUCGUAUCCACAGCUGGUGAUCUCAUGCAUGACUUCAAGACUGGGUACCUGACCCUCUCAUCGCCAAGGUCCAUGUUUGUGUCACAGUUGAUUGGCACUGCCCUUGGUUGUGUCAUUGCACCUCUAACCUUUUGGCUUUACUGGACAUCCUUCGAUAUUGGCAAUCCUGAUGGUAUGUUCAAAGCUCCAUAUGCCAUCAUCUUCCGUGAGAUGUCAAUCAUGGGUGUCGAAGGAUUCUCAGUGUUGCCGCGACAUUGCCUAGCAAUAUGCUCUUUCUUCUUCUUUGGAGCCAUAGCAAUCAAGCUCAUCCGGGAUGUCACCCCAAACAGUCUGUCCAAAUUCAUCCCGCUCCCGAUGGCCAUGGCCGUUUCAUUUUACAUUGGGGCAUACUUCGCGAUUGACAUGUUUAUCGGGACUGUCAUCUUGUUUGUAUGGGAGAGGUUGAACCGUAAGGAGUCAGAGGAGUUUGCGGGUGCAGUUGCUUCUGGUUUGAUCUGCGGUGAUGGUAUCUGGAGUGUUCCGUCUGCAAUAUUGUCCAUCAUGAGGAUUGACCCACCAAUGUGCAUGUACUUCAAGCCAUCUUUUACCUAUGGCUGA